This 765-nucleotide ribosomal RNA is filed under the name uncultured bacterium. RNAcentral describes it as "bacterial SSU rRNA". It matches the Rfam family "Bacterial small subunit ribosomal RNA", at positions 62 to 848 of the family's 1533-position model. The record is from RNAcentral.
UCGACGGGAGAAUUGCUAGCUUGCUAAUAAUUCUCUAGUGGCGCACGGGUGAGUAACACGUGAGUAACCUGCCCCCAAGAGUGGGAUAGCCCCGGGAAACUGGGAUUAAUACCGCAUAAAAUCGCAAGAUUAAAGCAGCAAUGCGCUUGGGGAUGGGCUCGCGUCCUAUUAGUUAGUUGGUGAGGUAACGGCUCACCAAGGCGAUGACGGGUAGCCGGUCUGAGAGGAUGUCCGGCCACACUGGAACUGAGACACGGUCCAGACACCUACGGGUGGCAGCAGUCGAGAAUCAUUCACAAUGGGGGAAACCCUGAUGGUGCGACGCCGCGUGGGGGAAUGAAGGUCUUCGGAUUGUAAACCCCUGUCAUGUGGGAGCAAAUUAAAAAGAUAGUACCACAAGAGGAAGAGACGGCUAACUCUGUGCCAGCAGCCGCGGUAAUACAGAGGUCUCAAGCGUUGUUCGGAAUCACUGGGCGUAAAGCGUGCGUAGGCGGUUUCGUAAGUCGUGUGUGAAAGGCGGGGGCUCAACCCCCGGACUGCACAUGAUACUGCGAGACUAGAGUAAUGGAGGGGGAACCGGAAUUCUCGGUGUAGCAGUGAAAUGCGUAGAUAUCGAGAGGAACACUCGUGGCGAAGGCGGGUUCCUGGACAUUAACUGACGCUGAGGCACGAAGGCCAGGGGAGCGAAAGGGAUUAGAUACCCCUGUAGUCCUGGCAGUAAACGGUGCACGCUUGGUGUGCGGGGAAUCGACCCCCUGCGUGCCG